This 258-nucleotide ribosomal RNA is filed under the name uncultured bacterium. RNAcentral describes it as "partial 16S ribosomal RNA". It matches the Rfam family "Bacterial small subunit ribosomal RNA", at positions 96 to 354 of the family's 1533-position model. The record is from RNAcentral.
CGGCGGACGGGUGAGUAACGCGUAGGCAACCUGCCCUUUGCAGAGGGAUAGCCAUUGGAAACGAUGAUUAAAACCUCAUAAUACUAAAUAGUCACAUGGCUGUUUGGUCAAAGAUUUAUCGGCAAAGGAUGGGCCUGCGUCUGAUUAGCUAGUUGGUGGGGUAACGGCCUACCAAGGCGACGAUCAGUAGCCGACCUGAGAGGGUGAUCGGCCACAUUGGAACUGAGACACGGUCCAAACUCCUACGGAAGGCAGCAG